This 429-nucleotide ribosomal RNA is filed under the name Gemmatimonadota bacterium. RNAcentral describes it as "Gemmatimonadetes bacterium partial 16S ribosomal RNA". It matches the Rfam family "Bacterial small subunit ribosomal RNA", at positions 355 to 776 of the family's 1533-position model. Lineage: Bacteria; Pseudomonadati; Gemmatimonadota. The record is from RNAcentral.
UAGGGAAUCUUCGGCAAUGGACGAAAGCCUGACCGAGCAACGCCGCGUGAGUGAAGAAGGUUUUCGGAUCGUAAAACUCUGUUGUUAGAGAAGAACAAGGACGUUAGUAACUGAACGUCCCCUGACGGUAUCUAACCAGAAAGCCACGGCUAACUACGUGCCAGCAGCCGCGGUAAUACGUAGGUGGCAAGCGUUGUCCGGAUUUAUUGGGCGUAAAGCGAGCGCAGGCGGUUUCUUAAGUCUGAUGUGAAAGCCCCCGGCUCAACCGGGGAGGGUCAUUGGAAACUGGGAGACUUGAGUGCAGAAGAGGAGAGUGGAAUUCCGUGUGUAGCGGUGAAAUGCGUAGAUAUAUGGAGGAACACCAGUGGCGAAGGCGGCUCUCUGGUCUGUAACUGACGCUGAGGCUCGAAAGCGUGGGGAGCAAACAGG